AGUGAACGCUGGCGGUAGGCCUAACACAUGCAAGUCGAACGGCAGCACAGGAGAGCUUGCUCUCUGGGUGGCGAGUGGCGGACGGGUGAGGAAUACAUCGGAAUCUACUCUGUCGUGGGGGAUAACGUAGGGAAACUUACGCUAAUACCGCAUACGACCUACGGGUGAAAGCAGGGGAUCUUCGGACCUUGCGCGACUGAAUGAGCCGAUGUCGGAUUAGGUAGUUGGCGGGGUAAAGGCCCACCAAGGCGACGAUCCGUAGCUGGUCUGAGAGGAUGAUCAGCCACACUGGAACUGAGACACGGUCCAGACUCCUACGGGAGGCAGCAGUGGGGAAUAUUGGACAAUGGGCGCAAGCCUGAUCCAGCCAUACCGCGUGGGUGAAGAAGGCCUUCGGGUUGUAAAGCCCUUUUGUUGGGAAAGAAAUCCAGCUGGCUAAUACCCGGUUGGGAUGACGGUACCCAAAGAAUAAGCACCGGCUAACUUCGUGCCAGCCGCCGCGGUAA
RNAcentral lists this ribosomal RNA (506 nucleotides) under uncultured bacterium. Its description in RNAcentral is "partial 16S ribosomal RNA". It matches the Rfam family "Bacterial small subunit ribosomal RNA", at positions 29 to 523 of the family's 1533-position model. The record is from RNAcentral.